RNAcentral lists this ribosomal RNA (328 nucleotides) under uncultured bacterium. Its description in RNAcentral is "bacterial SSU rRNA". It matches the Rfam family "Bacterial small subunit ribosomal RNA", at positions 568 to 898 of the family's 1533-position model. The record is from RNAcentral.
CGCGUAGGUGGUAGUGAAAGUCUAUGGUGGAAUCUUAGGGCUUAACCCUAAAACUGCCUUGGAAACUUCAUUACUUGAGUCAGUGAGGGGAGGGUAGAAUUCCUGGUGUAGCGGUGAAAUGCGUAGAUAUCAGGAGGAAGGCCGGUGGCGAAGGCGGCCCUCUGGCGCUGAACUGACGCUGAGGCGCGAAAGCGUGGGUAGCAAACAGGAUUAGAUACCCUGGUAGUCCACGCCCUAAACGGUGGGUACUAGGUGUAGGGCUCGUAAGGGUUCUGUGCCGAGGGAACCAUUAAGUACCCCGCCUGGGGAGUACGGCCGCAAGGUUGAA